Molecule: ribosomal RNA, 474 nt
Filed under: uncultured bacterium
Lineage: Bacteria
Description: bacterial SSU rRNA
Rfam family: Bacterial small subunit ribosomal RNA
Source: RNAcentral
AGGACGAACGCUGGCGGCGUGCUUCAUACAUAGCAAGUCGAACGAGAAAUUCACUUCGGUGGAAUGGAAAGUGGCGGACGGGUGAGUAAAAUGUAGAGAAUCUGCCCUAGAGAGGGGGACAACAGAGGGAAACUUCUGCUAAUACCCCAUAUGAGCGUACUUGAGAUAGUAUUCUUGAAAACUCCGGUGCCCUGGGAUGAGUCUGCAUCUGAUUAGCUAGUUGGGGGUGUAAUGGACCACCAAGGCGAUGAUCAGUAGCUGGUUUGAGAGGAUGAUCAGCCACAAUGGGACUGAGACACGGCCCAUACUCCUACGGGAGGCAGCAGUAGGGAAUUUUGCGCAAUGGGGGAAACCCUGACGCCAGCAACGCCGCGUGACCGAUGACGCCCUUCGGGGUGUAAAGGUCUGUCAGUGGGGACGAACGAUGACGGUACCCACAGAGGAAGCACCGGCUAACUCCGUGCCAGCAGCGGC